RNAcentral lists this ribosomal RNA (1376 nucleotides) under human gut metagenome. RNAcentral describes it as "bacterial LSU rRNA". It matches the Rfam family "Bacterial large subunit ribosomal RNA", at positions 1100 to 2487 of the family's 2925-position model. The record is from RNAcentral.
GUUGGCUUGGAAGCAGCCAUUCAUUUAAAGAGUGCGUAACAGCUCACUAGUCGAGGAGUCUGGCGUGGAUAAUAAUCGGGUAUUAAGUUGUCUACCGAAGCAGUGGGAUCAUUGAAAUGAUCGGUAGGGGAGCAUUCCAGUCAGCGUCGAAGGCGUACCGCGAGGUAUUCUGGAGCGUCUGGAAAAGCAAAUGUAGGUAUAAGUAACGAUAAAGGGGGCGGGAAACCCCCUCGCCGAAAGACUAAGGUUUCCUGAUCAACGCUAAUCGGAUCAGGGUAAGUCGGGUCCUAAGGCUCAGCCGAAGGGCGAUGCCGAUGGCAGAAACGGUUAAUAUUCCGUUACUACCUCCAGGAGUGAUGUGGAGACGCAGUAGUGACAAUGCCGCCAUCUGACGGAAUAGAUGGUUGAAGGGUGUAGAUGUUGAUCUUGGCAGGCAAAUCCACCAUGAGAAUCGAACCUGAUAGUAUGCCGCGUCCCUCGGGACAAGGCAAUAGUGCAUGUAAUCAUGCUGCCAAGAAAAUCCGCUAAACUAAAUCCUGUAGGUACCCGUACCGUAAACGGACACACGUAGUCGGGAUGAAUAUUCUAAGGCGCUUGAGUGAUUCACGGUUAAGGAACUAGGCAAACUGACCCUGUAACUUCGGGAUAAAGGGUCCCUACCCGGUGACGGGAGGGCGCAGAGAAUAGGUCCAGGCAACUGUUUAACAAAAACACAGGGCUGUGCGAAAUCGAAAGAUCCUGUAUACAGCCUGACACCUGCCCGGUGCUGGAAGGUUAAGAGGAGACGUCAUCGUUGAGAGAAGCGUUGAAUUGAAGCCCCAGUAAACGGCGGCCGUAACUAUAACGGUCCUAAGGUAGCGAAAUUCCUUGUCGGGUAAGUUCCGACCUGCACGAAUGGUGUAAUGAUCUGGACGCUGUCUCAACCGUGAGCUCAGUGAAAUUGUAGUAUCGGUGAAGAUGCCGAUUACCCGCGAUGGGACGAAAAGACCCCGUGAACCUUUACUAUAGCUUAUCAUUGAAUCUGGGCACGUGAUGUGUAGGAUAGGUCGGAGGCUUUGAAGGGGGUACGCCAGUAUCCUUGGAGCCGCUGUUGAAAUACGACCCUUCAUUUGUUUGGAUUCUAACCCGUGUAUAUGGGGACACUGAUUGGUGGGUAGUUUGACUGGGGUGGUCGCCUCCAAAAGCGUAACGGAGGCUUCUAAAGGUGCCCUCACGGCGAUUGGUAACCGCCGUUAGAGUGUAAUGGCAUAAGGGCGCUUGACUGGGAGACUGACAAGUCGAUCAGGUAGGAAACUAGAGCAUAGUGAUCCGGUGUUUCCGUAUGGAAGGGACAUCGCUCAAAGGAUAAAAGGUACUCCGGGGAUAACAGGCUGAUC